This 479-nucleotide ribosomal RNA is filed under the name uncultured bacterium. Its description in RNAcentral is "partial 16S ribosomal RNA". It matches the Rfam family "Bacterial small subunit ribosomal RNA", at positions 28 to 507 of the family's 1533-position model. The record is from RNAcentral.
GAUGAACGCUAGCGGGAGGCCUAACACAUGCAAGCCGAGCGGUAUUGUUUCUUCGGAAAUGAGAGAGCGGCGUACGGGUGCGUAACACGUGUGCAACCUGCCUUUAUCUGGGGGAUAGCCUUUCGAAAGGAAGAUUAAUACUCCAUAAUAUAUUGAACGGCAUCGUUUAAUAUUGAAAGCUCCGGCGGAUAGAGAUGGGCACGCGCAAGAUUAGCUAGUUGGUGAGGUAACGGCUCACCAAGGCGAUGAUCUUUAGGGGGCCUGAGAGGGUGAUCCCCCACACUGGUACUGAGACACGGACCAGACUCCUACGGGAGGCAGCAGUGAGGAAUAUUGGUCAAUGGGUGCAAGCCUGAACCAGCCAUCCCGCGUGAAGGACGACUGCCCUAUGGGUUGUAAACCUCUUUUGUAUAGGGAUAAACCUACCCUCGAGAGGGUAGCUGAAGGUACUAUACGAAUAAGCACCGGCUAACUCCGUG